GCUGCGGUAGCUCAGUGGUAGAGCACACCCUUGGUAAGGGUGAGGUCGAGAGUUCAAUCCUCUCUCGCAGCACCA
This 75-nucleotide transfer RNA is filed under the name Paracoccus sp. (in: a-proteobacteria). Its description in RNAcentral is "tRNA-Thr". It matches the Rfam family "tRNA". Rfam says of the family: Transfer RNA (tRNA) molecules are approximately 80 nucleotides in length. Lineage: Bacteria; Pseudomonadati; Pseudomonadota; Alphaproteobacteria; Rhodobacterales; Paracoccaceae. RNAcentral also lists the same sequence under 52 other names. The record is from RNAcentral.